Molecule: ribosomal RNA, 459 nt
Filed under: uncultured bacterium
Lineage: Bacteria
Description: partial 16S ribosomal RNA
Rfam family: Bacterial small subunit ribosomal RNA
Source: RNAcentral
CUACGGGCGGCACCAGUGAGGAAUAUUGGGCAAUGGAGGCAACUCUGACCCAGCCAUGCCGCGUGCAGGAAGACGGCCCUCUGGGUUGUAAACUGCUUUUGUUUGGGAAUAAACCCUUCUACGUGUAGGAGGCUGAAGGUACCAUUCGAAUAAGGAUCGGCUAACUCCGUGCCAGCAGCCGCGGUAAUACGGAGGAUCCAAGCGUUAUCCGGAUUUAUUGGGUUUAAAGGGUCCGUAGGCGGGUCUUUAAGUCAGUGGUGAAAGCCCACAGCUCAACUGUGGAACUGCCAUUGAUACUGGAGAUCUUGAGUGUAGUAGAAGUAGGCCGAAUAGGGCAUGUAGCGGUGAAAUGCAUAGAUAUGCCCUAGAACACCGAUUGCGAAGGCAGCUUACUAUGUUACAACUGACGCUGAGGGACGAAAGCGUGGGGAGCAAACAGGAUUAGAUACCCUCGUAGUC